GUUUAUCUUCAUCUUACUAAAACUCUCGAUUCAUGUAACCUCCACAAUUGUGCUAAUUCCACUUCUUCUCUCCAAUGUUCAAUCAUAUUUGUGUUCAUCAAUCCUCAAUCAAAUGUGUAUUUUUUUAUCCUUUCUUCUUUCAUUGAUAGACAUUACCAUUUUUCCUAUCUAUUGAAACACAAUCCCCUUCCCCUCUUUACAAGCCCUACUUGAUUUCUUCUACCCUAAUAUCUAUGAAAGUGUGAAAGCCUAUUGAGAAGAGUGCAUCAUGUUGUCGUGGGUUUGAUUUUCCUAUUAUUAUUAGGAAUCUC
RNAcentral lists this long non-coding RNA (311 nucleotides) under Vigna radiata. RNAcentral's name for it is "long non-coding RNA (VRAD_LNC005068)". Lineage: Eukaryota; Viridiplantae; Streptophyta; Magnoliopsida; Fabales; Fabaceae. The record is from RNAcentral.